RNAcentral lists this microRNA (22 nucleotides) under Acyrthosiphon pisum (pea aphid). RNAcentral describes it as "api-miR-3019". Lineage: Eukaryota; Metazoa; Arthropoda; Insecta; Hemiptera; Aphididae. The record is from miRBase by way of RNAcentral.
UACUGACUUUCUAAUUGAUUUA